GAUGAACGCUAGCUACAGGCUUAACACAUGCAAGUCGAACGGCAGCAUAGGAGCUUGCUCCUGAUGGCGAGUGGCGAACGGGUGAGUAAUAUAUCGGAACGUGCCCUAGAGUGGGGGAUAACUAGUCGAAAGACUAGCUAAUACCGCAUACGAUCUACGGAUGAAAGUGGGGGAUCGCAAGACCUCAUGCUCCUGGAGCGGCCGAUAUCUGAUUAGCUAGUUGGUGGGGUAAAAGCCUACCAAGGCAACGAUCAGUAGCUGGUCUGAGAGGACGACCAGCCACACUGGGACUGAGACACGGCCCAGACUCCUACGGGAGGCAGCAGUGGGGAAUUUUGGACAAUGGGGGCAACCCUGAUCCAGCAAUGCCGCGUGAGUGAAGAAGGCCUUCGGGUUGUAAAGCUCUUUUGUCAGGGAAGAAACGGUAGUAGCGAAUAACUACUACUAAUGACGGUACCUGAAGAAUAAGCACCGGCUAACUACGUGCCAGCCGCCGCGGUAA
This 502-nucleotide ribosomal RNA is filed under the name uncultured bacterium. Its description in RNAcentral is "partial 16S ribosomal RNA". It matches the Rfam family "Bacterial small subunit ribosomal RNA", at positions 28 to 523 of the family's 1533-position model. The record is from RNAcentral.